Molecule: ribosomal RNA, 940 nt
Filed under: uncultured bacterium
Lineage: Bacteria
Description: bacterial SSU rRNA
Rfam family: Bacterial small subunit ribosomal RNA
Source: RNAcentral
UGCAUGCGCGCCUCCCGUUCUGGGCCUUGUACACACCGACCGCCGUGUGCUGGAAUUCGCCCUUAGAGGUUGAUCAGGCCAGGAUAACCAUUGGAAACGAUGGCAAAGACUGGGUAGGAACAGAUGCGGGAUCGCGACUGUUUUAAAAGACCGAAAGGUAUGCUUGAGGAGGGGCCUGCGGCGCACUAGUUAGUUGGAGAGGUAAAAGCUCCCCAAGACGAUGAUGCGUAGCCGGACUGAGAGGUUGAACGGCCACAUUGGGACUGAGAAACGGCCCAAACUCCUACGGGAGGCAGCAGUAGGGAAUUUUCGGCAAUGGGGGAAACCCUGACCGAGCAACGCCGCGUGAAUGAAGACGUAUUUCGGUAUGUAAAGUUCUUUUAUCGAGGAAGAAUGGCGUAAGGCGAACCUUACGAUUGACGGUACUUGAUGAAUAAGCCCCGGCUAACUAUGUGCCAGCAGCCGCGGUAAUACAUAGGGGGCAAGCGUUAUCCGGAAUUAUUGGGCGUAAAGGGUGCGUAGGCGGUCAAUUAAGUCUUUGGUGUAAGUGCAGUGCUUAACGCUGUGAUGCUAAAGAAACUGGUUGACUGGAGUGUGGUAGAGGCAAGUGGAAUUCCAUGUGUAGCGGUGAAAUGCGUAAAUAUAUGGAGGAACACCAGUGGCGAAGGCGGCUUGCUGGGCCAUAACUGACGCUGAGGCACGAAAGCGUGGGUAGCAAACGGGAUUGGAUACCCUGGUAGUCCACGCCGUACACGAUGAGUACUAAGUGUUGGAGAAAUUCAGUGCUGUAGUUAACGCAAUAAGUACUCCGCCUGAGUAGUACGUACGCAAGUAUGAAACUCAGAGGAAUUGACGGGACACCGCACAAGCGGUGGAUCAUGUUGUUUAAUUCGAUGAUACGCGAGAAACCUUACCAGGUCUUGACAUCCCCUGCAACGUG